Ornithorhynchus anatinus (platypus) is the source of this 113-nucleotide non-coding RNA. RefSeq annotates it as microRNA mir-1421y-1. The transcript has a single exon. The record is from RefSeq and is marked provisional. NCBI's taxonomy places the organism in Eukaryota, Metazoa, Chordata, Mammalia, Monotremata, Ornithorhynchidae.
AUCCAGGCUGAUCUAUGGCACAGUGUGAGGAGGGCACAUGUGGUACAGUGUGAGCGUGGAAUAUGCUUCAUCACAUGUGACCUCACUUCACCGUACUGUGUCUUUGUCUGGAU